Molecule: long non-coding RNA, 931 nt
Filed under: Coturnix japonica (Japanese quail)
Lineage: Eukaryota; Metazoa; Chordata; Aves; Galliformes; Phasianidae
Description: lncRNA (ENSCJPG00005005221.1)
Source: RNAcentral
AGCGGGGCGGCCCGGCCGAGAGCAGCGCCCAGCUCCCAGCGCCCCGCACCGCCCGGCCCGGGCUGGGAGCGCUCCCCGCGGGGGGCCGGCGGCGGGCAGGGCAGGGCAGGGCAGGGCAGGGCAGGGCGGCGGGGGUGGGAUCUGCUCCGCGUAAUUCCCCCCGGGGGGCGGCGGGCCGCUCUCGGAGCAUCCCCCCCCCCCCUCCGUCCCCGACGCGGGGAGGGGAGAGCCACCACCCCCCGCUUCCUCCGUUUAAGACCCGGGCCGGCGGGGCGAGAGCGGAGGAGAGCGGCCGCUCCGCAGCUGCCGGCCCCAUUUCGGCGGCGGGGCGGGCGCUGGAUGAGCCGCCGACGGGAGGCGGCCGGCAGCCGAGCGGGUCCGAUCGCGGCGCGAUGAGCGCGGGCGGCAGCGGCUCGGCGGGCACCGCCACCUCCGCGCUGUGCCUGCUCCUGUCGCUCACCGCCGUGGCCGUGUGUCUGCUGCUGGGCGCUAAGACCGCCGAGCUGCAGGGCCGCCUGGCCGCCCUGGAGGAGCGCGGUGCCGCCGGCCCCGGGCCGCUGCUGGACGCGCUGCAGCCCCGCGUGGAGCAGCUCCUGCGCGAGAAGCUGGGCGAAGGACUCGCGAAGCUGCGGACGGUGAGAGAGGCUCCGUCAGACUGCAUGUGCCCACCAGGUAAGUGCAGAGGGAUCAGCACAGCUGUACUGCGCUGCAUGGGAGCUGCCGGCACACUGGGCUGAUGCUCAGCUCUGUAUUCACCUACACCAUGUAAAAAAUGUUUCUCCGAGCUGAAUCCCUGCCUUGUGCUGGGGGUUGUUGUUUUCUUCCACCUCCUUGCAAUGGCCUGCAUACGGAUCAAGGAGUUGGAGGUUUGGACAGAGCGACCCUCAGCUGUAUGAACUGCUUUGCUCGGUUGUGAGCGCCGGGUGUUGGG